UUAGGGCAGGAGUAGACAUUUGUGUCUUAGUGAUUUGCCAAAAUAGUAAGCUUGGUCUUUAUUGGGUUUCCUAGGCAAUUCGAAUUUUGGUUCAGGAACGGCUAACACAGGAUGCAGUUGCUAAAGCAAAUCAAAUGAAAGAGGGCUUACCUGUUGCUUUAGACAAACAUAUUCUUGGCUUUGACACAGGCGAUGCAGUUCUUAAUGAAGCUGCUCAGAUCCUGCGGUUGCUACACAUAGAAGAGCUCAGAGAGCUACAGACGAAAAUUAAUGA
RNAcentral lists this long non-coding RNA (274 nucleotides) under Rattus norvegicus (Norway rat). RNAcentral's name for it is "long non-coding RNA NONRATT010259". The record is from RNAcentral. Lineage: Eukaryota; Metazoa; Chordata; Mammalia; Rodentia; Muridae.